GGCAGCGGCGAUAACCACGUUGUAUGUAGGUACCCCUUCCUCCACUGAAGUUAAGCAACGUUGCGCGUGGUUAAUAUCCGGAUGGGUGACCAUCUGAAACAUCGUGUGCUGUUGGCC
RNAcentral lists this ribosomal RNA (117 nucleotides) under Diaphorina citri (Asian citrus psyllid). Lineage: Eukaryota; Metazoa; Arthropoda; Insecta; Hemiptera; Psyllidae. The record is from RNAcentral.